Molecule: long non-coding RNA, 954 nt
Organism: Homarus americanus (American lobster)
Lineage: Eukaryota; Metazoa; Arthropoda; Malacostraca; Decapoda; Nephropidae
Exons: 3
Source: RefSeq, a predicted model, not a curated record
GUGAAGUCAUGAUUAAUUUAUUCUGCUUUAUUAGUUAUUGAAGAAACUGUAGUAUAUCAGAAAAAUUUUCUUUUGUAGAAAAAUUGCUGAGGUAGAACGCAUCGCCCGUGAGAAAAAGGAGUUAGAAUACCUUAAAUUGCUUGAAGCACAGCGCAUUGCUGAGUUACAACAAGCUAAAUUGACAAGCUCAGCAGUUAAAAAGAUUGCACUAGCUGAUAACAAGGAAACUGGACUAAAUCAUACAUUCACUUUAAGUAAUAACAAGGAAAAUGGUCUUAAUACCACAUUUUCCAAAACUACUGGACCGUCUCAGUCAAGUUCUACUGGGAAAAACAAAGAUAGUUAUGACAUUACACCAAACUCCAAGAAAUAUAAGAAAAAUAUUAAUAAUUAUGAUAUAAAUGAUAUUGAGAGUGAUGACUCAACUGAUGAGGACAGUGCUCCUAAGAGGAAAAUUCCUCCCUGGGCUAUGAGAUCUCAGCUCACAGCUGCUAUGAUCAACCAAGUACACUCCGGACCUGUGGUUGAGGAGAUCUUCCCUCCGACUAUUCUUCUCACCACACCUGAUCUCACCCAAAUCUUUCCUAAGCGGAAAAAAUUUAACAAACGCACCUCUUGUGCGAUAUGGACUACACCACUUUCUAAAUAUUUUGAAUAAUGUUAGCUAUAUACAGUACUGUGUAUAUAUUUUAUCAUGCUUCAUGGUAUAAACUAAUGAUUUUCAGUUAAGUGUUAUUAAUGCAUUGGAAUUGUUUUCCAAAUUUUUAGAGUACAUAACUUAGCAUUUCUUAAUAUAUAGGUAUUUUCCAAUUUACGAUGGGGGUUGUGUUCCUGAAAACCGUAACAUAAACUAUGAGCCCUUUAACAUGGGUUUCACUGGGGUACAUUCCUGGCCAGUCCGAUAUAGACAUGUAAUCCAGAAAUAAUAAUCCUUCAAUAAUUAAAUAAAUACAG